RNAcentral lists this long non-coding RNA (465 nucleotides) under Chinchilla lanigera (long-tailed chinchilla). RNAcentral describes it as "lncRNA (ENSCLAG00000027500.1)". The record is from RNAcentral. Lineage: Eukaryota; Metazoa; Chordata; Mammalia; Rodentia; Chinchillidae.
AGGGGUGGGAUGGCUGCUGGCCUGGUCUCAGCCAGUGCCACAGUCCUGCCCACUCCACCUGGCAUCUGGCCCUGAGGUGAAGAUGACCUUAGGAAAGAGCAGUCCAGUCCCUUCAAUGAGGGGAAGUAUCUAUACAGCCUCCAAAGGCUGCCAGAGCCCUGGCUUGUGCAGAACAGGGAACUUUCCAGGCUGAACCCUUUGCAAGGGGCCUUGAUGGUUUAUUUUGGAGGUGCUGCCACACUGGCAAAGGGGUGCCUUCCACUGGAUCUCAGCCUCAUGAGGACACAUGAACAGUUUCUCAAGAAUCAGCUGCUGUGUGCAGGCGCAGGAUGGAGGAAUCCAUUGUGACUGUGAGCAGAUGCCCACGCAAACAUGAGCUCCAGGGCAUCGUGGAGCUUAAUGGAGCCUUUUCCUUGUGGAUUUCCUGUUUCGGAAGUUUAUCUAUUCACCUUUGCAUGCAUUUAC